UACGUAGGGUGCGAGCGUUAAUCGGAAUUACUGGGCGUAAAGCGUGCGCAGGCGGCUCUGCAAGACAGAUGUGAAAGCCCCGGGCUCAACCUGGGAACUGCAUUUGUGGCUGCAAGGCUAGAGUGCGUCAGAGGGAGGUGGAAUUCCGCGUGUAGCAGUGAAAUGCGUAGAUAUGUGGAGGGAUACCGAUGGCGAAGGCAGCCCCCUGGGUCGAUACUGACGCUCAUGCACGAAAGCGUGGGGAGCAAACAGG
RNAcentral lists this ribosomal RNA (253 nucleotides) under uncultured bacterium. Its description in RNAcentral is "partial 16S ribosomal RNA". It matches the Rfam family "Bacterial small subunit ribosomal RNA", at positions 524 to 776 of the family's 1533-position model. The record is from RNAcentral.